CCGGGAGUCAGGUGACCUGGCCCCGGAGCUGCUCCCUGGACCUGCGGGAGGUGCUCUGCGACCGCCCACGCCCCGGCCCGCGGCGCGUCCCGGACGUCCACGCUUGCGUUUCUGCGGAUCGUGGGAAUCCUUCUGCGUGGGAGUUUUAGAAAUGCUAACCGAGCUCAGGUUUUGAACAUGUCUGGGACUGUGAAUUGGCUGCCAGAAUGAAAUUUGAGGAGGGGAAAAUAUGAUGGUGUGAAGAUCCUCUUAGCCAUCACAAAGAUAUGGCAGGCGUGUGAAGGACAAUUGUGUGCAUUCAUUAGCUGCUUCCGCCAAGCAAGAAUUGUCAUCAAAAGGAAGAAAUUACCAGCGCUGCUACAUUUAAACUCAGCCUGGGCCAGCAGCCAUGAGCAGUGGCCACAGUGAACCUUGGAGGCCACUAGGCAGUGGCUACAGGCUUGGCAGAUCGGUGAAGAGUCACUCUGCAAAGGAUGAAGGUCUGAUUCCCAUUCCUGGGACAUUGUUCUUGAGACCCAGCGCUGACUGAGCUCUACACUAGGGGAAUUGUUGGACACAGAAUUGAACCAUUAUACGCCGUUACCAUCUAGAAAGGCUCUCUUUCUCUUAUAAAGCAAAUCUCCUCCAGACACUUUGACACCACACCACUCAAGUGGGGCAGAUGGUACAUCCGUUCCUCUUGUCUUCCUACUGUGUGGGGAUCUAGGCUCAGGCUCCUUUGGUGAGUAAAAGUCAUUUACAGAACUAAAUUUUG
RNAcentral lists this long non-coding RNA (754 nucleotides) under Mus musculus (house mouse). RNAcentral describes it as "RIKEN cDNA 4930556M19 gene, transcript variant 2 (4930556M19Rik)". The record is from RNAcentral. Lineage: Eukaryota; Metazoa; Chordata; Mammalia; Rodentia; Muridae.